AAGUCGUAACAAGGUUUCCGUAGGUGAACCUGCGGAAGGAUCAUUAAAUAAUUUGAUAUUCUGGUUUUCCAGUUAAUAUCCUAUUUUACUGUGAACUGUAUUAUUACAAGAUGUUUGAGGGAUGCUUACUUAACUAUAAGGAUAGGUUAGUAAGAUGUUUAACCGAGUCUUGAUCAAACUUUUAGUUUGGUAUCCUAUUUAUUAUUUACCAAAAGAAUUCAGUAUAAAAUAUUGUAACAUAGACCUAAAAAAUCUAUAAAAACAACUUUUAACAACGGAUCUCUUGGUUCUC
RNAcentral lists this unclassified non-coding RNA (292 nucleotides) under Mucor minutus. RNAcentral describes it as "partial internal transcribed spacer region". The stretch from base 1 to 46 matches the Rfam family "Eukaryotic small subunit ribosomal RNA", at positions 1786 to 1831 of the family's 1831-position model. Lineage: Eukaryota; Fungi; Mucoromycota; Mucoromycetes; Mucorales; Mucoraceae. The record is from RNAcentral. RNAcentral also lists the same sequence under 1 other name.